ACUCAGUAACAUAUUUUUUUCUUUUCUCAUAAAGUCACCAAUAAGAUAUCACUUUUGACAUGAAUUCUCUCUGCUCUCGUUUUCGAACCACACAACAAAAUGCCUCCUCUCUAAACUUUCAGAAAACCUUCUUCACACUCCUUAUCACCAAAUGCAGACAGUAAAAAAUCCACACUUUUUUCCAUCACCAACAGGCCUUUCCUUCGACCCUUAACCCUUUCUGCAAAAAC
This 230-nucleotide long non-coding RNA is filed under the name Lathyrus oleraceus (garden pea). RNAcentral's name for it is "Pisum sativum (pea) long non-coding RNA (PSAT_LNC001077)". The record is from RNAcentral. Lineage: Eukaryota; Viridiplantae; Streptophyta; Magnoliopsida; Fabales; Fabaceae.